RNA transcript from Alosa sapidissima (American shad), 1456 nucleotides. It is a transcript of the gene named protein enabled homolog, with no coding region annotated. NCBI's taxonomy places the organism in Eukaryota, Metazoa, Chordata, Actinopteri, Clupeiformes, Clupeidae. The record is from RefSeq and is a predicted model, not a curated record. The transcript has 6 exons.
ACAAACAGACCGAUCGAGGAAAGGAAGUUUACAAGAGAGUUGUUCUGCCGUAGCCUAUCAAUAUAGCGAAUUCACAUUUUGUCCUACAAUCAAGAGGUUGCGUCUUCUUCACUAUGGCCCAUGUGAACAGUAAUUCACCAGCGACCAAAGGGAGAGCAACCUCCCAGGUCAAAUCCAGUGCAGAGGACUUUGAUGGGGACCUGACUGAGUUCACUUCCAAAUUAAUUUCUGCAGAGGAUCUGGAACGUAUGCAUCGUUCUUCAGAACCUCACAGACUUAGCUCACCAAGGCUUAAUUUAGACCUCAGGGCUGAGACGCUGAAGGUUGUGCGGGAUGCUGCAACAGGUCAAGAACAGGCUUUGAAGGUGGCCAUAGAAAGCAUGAGGAGAGAGAUGAAACAAGUGAUGAGGAGCAGACAGGGGGAAAGAGAGAGGAAGUUAGCGGUCCUGCUGGAGGGUAGACAGACGCGGGUCACACAAAUGGAGAAAUGGAACGAGGGAAAGAAACAUCUCUCCCAUCAAAAAAGGGAAGAAGGAGAGUGUGCAAUGCUCAAAGACGCUAUUGCUCAGCUACCCAGGGUAAUACAUUCCCUGGACCGCAUGAGAAUGGUGGAGCUUGAGGAGUGGGUGAAGAAAGAGGAAGAAGAGGACAGCUUGGAGUGGGCAACGUGGAGGGAGCAAGUUUUACACUUGGACACCAUCACCAGGCAGCAGAGCAGAGACGCAGUGGCCAGAGUCGCUCAGCGCUGGAAAACAGCAGAAAAUGGAGGACGCCAGAACACUAGUGCUGCGACACUGGCUCUGCCAUCCAAGCUCCCUCUACUGCCAUCACAACUCCCUCAACUGCCAUCCAAGCUCCCUCUACUGCCAUCCAAGCUCCCUCUACUGCCAUCCAAGCUCCCUCAACUGCCAUCCAAGCUCCCUCUACUGCCAUCACAACUCCCUCCUCUGCCAUCCAAGCUACCCCCAUUGCCAGCCAAGCUCCUCCCUUUGAACCCACCCCUUCUGAGAGCAUUCUGCAACCCAGUUGCCCCUCUGCCUCCCAUACAGUGCAAGAGAGAACAAGAGGACCUAGACUUAGAAAGUGUUUCAGAACAUUCCACGCAGGUGAAAGAACCAUCAGACCAUCAGAACCAUGUCAUACUCCUCACCAGUAUAACCCAGGAUAGAGUUUUAUGGUAGUGCUGUGGCAGAGCACUUGAUGGUGAAUCUGGAUGCUGAUGGUCAAAGUCCAGAGGCUACCAGCACAUUGUCCUCUGAGUCCCUAGCAGCAGGUGACAGCGGGGUAGAGCAAGAGAGGGAAAAGACGAGAAGCAUUAAAGAGAGGUUUUUCCAUUUCCUCAGAAAACUGAACUGCUGCAGUGCCAAAGAGGACUAGGCAGACCCAUCAACCCACUGUGAUCAUUUGUAUUAGUUUCAUUUUCCUAGCCACCAUAAAUAAAUUUAAUAGAAAUCCA